GGUUGGCAGGAGCAGGGACCGAGCAACAGGAGCUCACCCCGUCACGGGGAUUACAUUCCUUGAUUUUCUCCAGAGCUAGUGCCAUUAAAGCUAGUACCUAUUUAUUUUAUUUUAAAGUGCUUAUUCUGCCCUGGGAUAUUGCAUCUUCUAGGACAUCUAACAGAAAAAUAAACACAUAAAAUGUAUGUAUUUAUCUAUUUCAUGUGGUACUCUUGUUUCUAAUACAUGUUAAGGUGAAGUGCCUCAUAAGUAAUAAAUUAAAGAUAUAGACAGUAAAAGCAUUAAAGUAACCAUGGUUGUUUGCAUUCCUAAAAACAACAAAAAAAUUUAAAGGCCUGGUAAAAGUAUUUAUUUAGUCAAAUAUUCAUAGAUAGCAAUUUAUAUUUUAUUUCUUUGAAAGGUAUUCAGCUAGUACCAACAAGGCGUAAGAUUUUGUGCCAUGGCAGCCUCCCUAGACAAGGAGUUAUAGCCAAGAGGGCCCCCUUCCUGGUUGCCACCUUCUUCACCUCUGAAGGUUGGGGUGCCUGGAGAAGGCCUCCAGCAAUGAGGUUAAGGGCCCACUGCCUGAUAAUUUAUUACGGUCAAAGAUCAGCUCACAUAACACAAUAAAAACAGCGUUCAUAAAGAUAAAAUAUACAAUUAUGUAUAUGUAGAUUAUCUUGGCCCCACCUACAAUUACCCAUAGGUACAUGUAACAUAACUUGCUAACCAGCACUCUGGGCUCCUGUGCAAGAUUUCUACUUCUACAGCUCAGAAUAGUGCUGAUGUGUCUCACAGAUGCUUUAGUUAGUGACAUCCUUUUACCAGUUAGGGAUAUUUGCUGUCUGCUGUGCUAUCCAAUGAUGUCAUCAUGCAUACUUAAUAAAAGGAGGUGUUUUAUUUA
This is a non-coding RNA of Podarcis muralis (Common wall lizard), 883 nucleotides long. The record is from RefSeq and is a predicted model, not a curated record. Lineage: Eukaryota; Metazoa; Chordata; Lepidosauria; Squamata; Lacertidae.